UACGGAGGAUGCAAGCGUUAUCCGGAAUCAUUGGGCGUAAAGCGUCCGCAGGUGGAGUGGUAAGUCUGUUGUCAAAGAACGGGGCUUAACCCCGUAAAGGCGAUGGAAACUGCCACACUAGAGGCUGGUAGGGGUAGAGGGAAUUCCCAGUGUAGCGGUGAAAUGCGUAGAGAUUGGGAAGAACACCAGUGGCGAAAGCGCUCUACUGGACCAGAACUGACACUCAGGGACGAAAGCUAGGGGAGCGAAAGGG
Molecule: ribosomal RNA, 253 nt
Filed under: uncultured bacterium
Lineage: Bacteria
Description: partial 16S ribosomal RNA
Rfam family: Bacterial small subunit ribosomal RNA
Source: RNAcentral